GCUUCGUCUCUGUAUCUGACUCAGACUGGCCUGGCUUCUGCUGUUCACCCACCUUUCCCCCUCAUCUGGGAUCCUGCAUGGCCCAUGCAAGUCUGUUAUGUUAACUAAUGGGAUCACCAUGACUGGCUGGAGUUAUUUUCCAGGGCUGCUAUCUUUGAGAGGGUCCCCAUCAGUCAGACCCAAGAGAGAGUCAAGGAGAAGAGCUGCUCAUGGGGCCACACUGGUCAGCUCCCAGGGUCAACAGCAGGUAGACAAUGGCUGCGAGGGGAAAACAGAAGCAACAUAGGUUUACUACAAAGAACUCAGAAGAGACAGAAAAACAAAAGAAACGUCUAAUAACCUACAAUUUCCCUGCUCCAGAUGCAAAUACUAAGAUGCAACUAUGAUUAGUUAUAUUUGAUCCAUCUGUGUAUUUUCACUUACUAAAAUUAGGUCUGCUUUGUGUACUGCUCCGUAUUAUGCCCUUUAAGGACAAUAUAUUAGAAGCAUCUUUUCAUAUCUAGAAAUAUAUUUCUAUGGUAUCUUUUUAGUUAUCACAAAGUAUUCUGUUAGUGGGUAUUCCAUACCCAUUAUCAAUUCUCUGGGGUUGGGCAUUGAUGAUGUUUGUUUUGGUUUAGUUCUUUUGUUCUGUUAACCUUAAAAAUAAACACUACCUGUUAU
Molecule: long non-coding RNA, 660 nt
Organism: Suricata suricatta (meerkat)
Lineage: Eukaryota; Metazoa; Chordata; Mammalia; Carnivora; Herpestidae
Exons: 3
Source: RefSeq, a predicted model, not a curated record